Amphimedon queenslandica is the source of this 1335-nucleotide long non-coding RNA. RefSeq lists it as uncharacterized. NCBI's taxonomy places the organism in Eukaryota, Metazoa, Porifera, Demospongiae, Haplosclerida, Niphatidae. The record is from RefSeq and is a predicted model, not a curated record. The transcript is spliced from 3 exons.
UACUAAUAACGCUACCGCGUUACUAAUAAUUAUUGUCUGUGCAUUCCUCUCCCUUUGUCCCAUCUACCUUGGUACUAAAGAAGCAAGUUGGCGGCAGGUUAUAGGAAUAAUCAUAGGCGGUUCGAGGAUUGUGGAAGCAGGUGGGCGAGGGAGAGAAUAAAAUGGCGCGCGAAGCGCGCCGCGAUUUUGACCACGCCCACUAUUUCCCGCUGCGCGGAACUACAUUUUCCCGUAAUAUUAGGGGCCUCGCAAUAUUUAAUUUUUCAACCAUUGUCAUCCUCUGUGCAUGUGCCGUGAGUGUGACUUCGUGAUUGACUAUGAGACUUUAGUCUCGCUAGCCAGACCAUUCCCCAGCCUACAGCCAUUUACGUCCACCCCAAUGACUGUAGGCUGGGGAAUGGUCUGGCUAGCGAGACUAAUCAGACUCAGCAUCACUAGAAGUAGAAGUAUCACAAGGAAGAUCAUAAUCAUUAGUCUCUAACUCUGUGAAAUCAACUGACACUAGAUCUGGCUCAUCUAUAGAAAUUUCAGGAGGCAAGAAAGAAUUAUGCUGACGCUUGGUUGCCAUUGCAAGAAAUGAUUACAAAAUUAACAUUCAAAAUAUUCAUGAAAAGUUAAUUUUAAUAACAAUAAUAAUUAAUUUUAAUGAUUAUGAUGACUUCCUUUUCCUGUCAAAACUUCAGGGUGGGCAUUGCCCCUUAAUGCCCACCCCUGGAACCGCCUAUGGGAAUAAUGGCAGAACUGUAAUGCCUCUGUCAAUAUUAAUGGCUAAAAAAUCAAACGUCAUUAGUCUCGUAACCUGCAAGUACAGCCAUACUUUUCACAAUAUUAUUACAUUGUGUUAAUUAUUAUUAUUGGGUGGGGUCUGUAUACACUUCUUGAAAUGCAGAUAGACUUUAGUAUUUUGAAUCCAUGUGUGUGAUAGCAACUUUGCUCGCAUUAAUUUUUUACAAUAACUCCUGGAUUUAGGAUCAGGGUUUGUUUUGUGUAGUUUAUGUACUUAAUUUUAUGUAUUACCUGAUUUGUUGUACUGAAGGUGAUUGUGACGAGUUGGACUAUUUCAAAUGGUUAAAGGUUUAUUUUCAACGGAUAUAAUAGUAGAUGAAGGAAUAUCAAACCCACAUGUGGAAGUGUCAACACCGGAGGAAGUUACAGACACUUCUAUGUUACAGUUUUGGUGUCCUAAGACUGGUCUUGAGAUUGAAGAAAUUCCUUAUGACCUUUUUUUUUAACACUGAAAAUAACUAAUAUAUACAUAAUAUUUUGAUUCAUCAUGAUACUUAAUGAUAAAAUCAAUGAUACUUUAGUUUAAUGAUAUUUGAAAUGAUCAUAAAA